This 1003-nucleotide long non-coding RNA is filed under the name Homo sapiens (human). RNAcentral describes it as "non-protein coding lnc-NR1I2-1:20". The record is from RNAcentral. Lineage: Eukaryota; Metazoa; Chordata; Mammalia; Primates; Hominidae.
GACUCGGGUCGUGGCUGACGACCCGACGGUUCGCCUGCGGCCGCCUCCAACAACGGUGGAAACCGCACACAGGGACCGCGGGCCCUCGGUGCAGCAAAUCGGAAAGUGCUGCGGUCGGCGGCCCUGGGCUCUGAGCGCUCAAGCGAGCAGAGGGGUGGAGGGGCUCUCCCCACCCACAGGAGGCUCUCGGCGGGGCGCAGCCAAUUCUGCGCGCCCAAGGCUCCCCUCUGCCGUGGAUCGCGUGUGCCGAGUGUUGGCCUCUUCCCCGAAAGGGCCAGACGGACCAAGGGGGCCUUCCCAGCCGGCUGCAAGCUCUCAGACGCUAAAAUGGGAACAAAGCUUCCAGAAAGGCAGCGCCUUUGGGCGGCCGCGCCCCGCCCAGCCGCGGGGGCCAUUGAUACAGAGGCUUGCUGCGCUUGGUGUGCGCGGCCCGGCCGGGCCUCUGGAAACGCCCAUGAGAAAUGAGCUCAUGCUGGAUGCGCGCGCUCCUUGGGCGCAACUGCCCAGCGCAAAACGGGCCCCGAAAGCAGGUGAGUGGAGGACACUUCAAUCUAAAGUGAUCUUAAAGGAGGAGUAGUAGGAUUUGAAGAUGAAGAAAGAAGAGGGGAGGUAAAUUACUUUCCAUCACUUCAAUUUCAACCCAUCAGAUAAAACCUCUCUUUAGUAAACCUGCAUGUGGGUGGAGCUGUAACAGCAAUUAAGGACAGUGUGACUCUGUUCUUCUGACUUUGGGAAAACCAGUUUGGCUGGAACAAAAAGCUGAUAGAGAAGACUAAUGGAAGAUAAGGUUGAAAAGGUAGGUUUGAGGGAGCUUUGUUACAGGAAAAAAAAAAAAAAAAAACUGGGCUUUGUCCUGUAGACAGUGGAGAGGUACUUUAGCAGAUGUAAGACAUUACCAUUAUAGGAAAGCCUCUGAAGUAACAUACACUGUGGUUUUUCCUGUUGCUGAAAAUAUGCCCAGAGUAACAAGAUGUGGCAUAGUUGGUUAUGUGUCUUAUAACCA